ACAUGUAUAUGCUAAGUCAUGUCAGGUUAAAGCAGUGCUUAUAUUUGAUGGUUGGUAUUGACAUGAAUGCAAUUUCUACUUACUGUAAGUGUUUAUUCACUCCAUUUAAUUCACAGUAGUAUACAAUGCUAAUUCAGUCCUUUAUUUCCUGUUUGACAUUUCCAGAAACUGCUCUGUACCAAGAAUACAUCACUGCAGUCACAUAGUUCUACAGUAAACAGUUAAACUCAACUGAUGUCUCGCGUGCUUUCUGACCAGAGCCCUGCAGUGGACAUUUAGGCUAUAAAUCAGCGUCAAAACUCUCAAUCCUCAACAACACAUUUAGAGAUUUUUUUUUCUCCAGUGCACAGAGAAAGAAUAAACUCACAGAUCACAUACAUUUAACCAAUGCACUCAUCGUUUGUGCUCCAUCACUUGAAAUUUGAUUUAGCAUAUUGUGUAUAUUUUUUAAAAAUACUAAAGAUGAAGACAAAGGAAAACAAGUUACAAGUUCAGUCAUUUUAGGGUCCAAACUUCCUCUUUCAGCAUUGCCUACCUCAUUUAAUGACCAUUUUAUACAAGUUUGGACACACCCUUUCAUUUAAUGCUUUUUAUUUAUUUGUGUUAUUUGCUUCAUUGUAGAUUAGUACUGAAGAUUAACACUACUUUUGUGCUGCAGGAGGAGGUGCUGCAGAGAGCCAACAUCACCACAUUGGGUCCGGCUGCAGGUGUUGUCACCAUGGAUAUGAGACGAGCCCCUCGUGUGGUUGAACACUUCAAGGCUGGCACUUGUUUCAUCAGCUACAACAUCACUCCUGUGGAGGUGCCUUAUGGAGGCUUCAAAAUAUUUGGCAUCAGGCGGAACAAUGGCCAGCCUUCAUGAGGCGGUGCACGACGAUGGAGAACUGGAAUCCAGUAGAAGAGGCCAAGCUUAAAAAGGCACACAUAAAUAAAUGCUGUCAGAGGCCAGUAAAGUGACUGGUUACUCAGACAUAAUGUUUACAACUGCCCCUUGUUCACCAGUAUGCUCCUUGUUUACUAGUCCAGUUUUUUUUUUUUUUUUUUUUUUACCAUUGUGUGACAUGUUUUUAAACCAGUGGUUCUGAACUGGUAAGUCAAGACCCAAAUGUGUGUUGCAGGGGCACUUUCAAUGGGUUGUAAAUUCAAUAAUCUUGUAAAUUUUGUACCUUUUUUCAAAGUUGAAACUUGUUUUUAUAACUGUCUUUUCAAAAAUUGUGACUUUUUUCUCCAAAAAUUGUGACUUUUGUGGCUUUUUUCCUCCAAAAAUUGUGACUUUUGUGAUUGCUAUCAUUAUUACAGUUCACUAUUCAUUGUGUUGUAUUAAAUAAAUGGGGCUACA
Long non-coding RNA from Acanthochromis polyacanthus (spiny chromis), 1339 nucleotides. RefSeq lists it as uncharacterized. The transcript is spliced from 2 exons. NCBI's taxonomy places the organism in Eukaryota, Metazoa, Chordata, Actinopteri, Pomacentridae. The record is from RefSeq and is a predicted model, not a curated record.